Molecule: transfer RNA, 74 nt
Filed under: Thermoprotei archaeon
Lineage: Archaea; Thermoproteati; Thermoproteota; Thermoprotei
Description: tRNA-Gln
Rfam family: tRNA
About the family: Transfer RNA (tRNA) molecules are approximately 80 nucleotides in length. Their secondary structure includes four short double-helical elements and three loops (D, anti-codon, and T loops).
Source: RNAcentral
AGCCCGGUGGUGUAGUGGUCAAGCAUACAGGGCUCUGGACCCUGUGAUCGAGGGUUCGAAUCCCUCCCGGGCUA